GUCGCGCUCCCUGCGCCGCGCACCUGAGGCAGUCGUUGUCUCUCACCAGGCGCGCGCUCUCGGCGGGGGGCAGGAGCCCCCCGUCCAGGUAGAGGCCUAGGAGGGCCCCAGAACUGAAGCCGAAGCGCUGGCGGAUGAGACUAAUGAGAUCUGUGACGACUCGGCAUCUGUUCAAGUCGACCAGAAGCCAGAAGGCCGUACAGUGCGGGGUAGCUGGCGGCGGGUAAUCAAAUUGAAGCCGUAGCCUAACCGUCUCGGAAGCUGCCAUCUUGCUCGGUGCUCAACGGAAGCCGAGAGAUACCACGGGGCUACCGAGAGGCGUGCUCGGGCGGCUCGCCCCUCCCCGGAGCCUUUGGCGUUUGCCACCUAGUGGUGGAACCUUGCUACUACAGGCUGCGUCCAGGCGAGAACUCGGAGCGAGGUUGAUUUCAUUCAAUUUUGUUCACGGCAGGGCUGAGGAAGGGAGGGCCUGCCAUGCGCUGCUCUGACGAGGCGUUCCACUGGGGCAAUUGCCUACGAGGGACCGCUCUCAGGAUCCACGUCACUCAAGCUGGCUGGAGUCCCCCACAAGGAUGCUCCACAGGGCAGGCCUAAGCCACCUAAGGGACUGCCUCGACUGUCGGUUAAUCACCUCGCUUCCCGGUCAAGGAACCAAGAAAUGUAGCAGAACAAGCCACACACAAAACCCCUCAGACACCGAGUUAAAGAAGGAAGGGCUUUAUUCAGCCGGGACCUUCGACAAGACCCAUGUCUCCAAAAACCAAGUACCCUAAUUCAUCUGGAUCUCGUUGUUGGGCCAUGAGAAACAGCAGCCCGACCCUCACUCUGGUCUGGGAACAAAAUUUGGCAAGCCAGCCAGAGAGACUGGGAUGGUGCUGUGUUCAGCGGCUAGCAGCUUGCAACGAGACAAUCUUCAGGAGGAUCCCAGCAGCUGCCGAUGAGAUUUCCCAAGGACACUCUUGAAGGCUGUUUCAUGCACAAAAUUGCACAUCUCUUUCACUACUGGGGAAGAAUGGAGAUCAGGAGGGAUGCACUCAAAGGAGUCAAGGAAACUUUUCUUUUGAGCUAUUGACAGCUUUUAACAAUUUAGUAUACUCCCAUGAACAGAAUUUGGAGCAUAUUUGUUUCUCUCUAGCUGAUUUUCUCCAGAAUUUGAAAACUAUUUGACACAAUUGGAAAAACUGGUCAUUUUACCACAGCUUUGACUGGAAUGGUAUGCUUUCCUUUAAGAAAUCAAACCUGACUUAUGGAGCCAAUGGAACCCCAAGUUGUCUUAGAACCUGAAGAGGAGAGAAAUUCACUCAACACAUAGGUGCUGCCUCUAAGCCCCAAAACAGAGAGUGCUACCAAGAACUAAUCGACCUCUUCCACUCCAGUGCUGCAUUCGGUGCCCCAUAAUGACGACCCUCUCUCAGCAGGAAGUAGCCAGAAAGGUUAUGAUGCCCCAUCUCCCUACAAUUCUCGUGACAAAUAAAUAUACAAGCAUGAUAGAUAUGUGCAAAUUGACAGUGGAGAUUGUGGCAGGUGGAUCUCACUAAAGCAGGCCUCUGUAACAACUGUUUCAGUAUUGACUGAGUUGUUAAGUUAAAUAUUAAAAGCCAGUGGCCUUUAUACAAAGGCUGGGAUGGAACAAAAGCCCACCAAGAGUUUUGCAUAGGCCUUUCCUGGGCCUUAAAGCAUGACAAAAUAAUGAAGGAAUUCUUAACAGGACCCAUUUAGGAUUAAACAAGUUUUAUCGUGAGUCUGAAGAAGCUUUCCAGGCCUCCACAACAAGUUUAUUGGAGGUCUGAAGGAACUCCCUAAACCUCCAUGAUUUAGCAGGAGACAAGAUAGGGGUAACCACCCCAGCACCUGGACGCAUUUAGAUUAAGUAAAUUUACUGAUGCUCCAGAGGAAUGUCUUCAGGACUCAGACCUUAAUUAUAGAUUAAAAGUAGUUAAUCACUUAUGCCUUUAGAAGAAUGCACUCUUACACGUAGACAUACAGCUUAGAAGGUAUAUAAGCUCUGGAAAAUGUUGUAAUUUGGAGUUGGUCUGGCAAUAACUUCCAGACCUUCCCCCUGUAACUGGUUACAGAAAUAAAAACUCUCUCCCCACUUCAUCUGCAUCUCAUUAUUGGGGCACAAGAAAUAGCAGCCCAACCUUCAGUUUUGUCCGGGAACACUAGAAUUAUCAGCGUGAGCCACAGUAGCUUGCCUAUAAAUGCGCUUUAUCAAGUUGAGGAAGAUCCCCUCAAUUCCCAUUUUCUGAAUUUUUUAAAUAAUAAAUUUAAAAAUUAUGUGUUAAACUUGUGAUGUUAAAUUUUGUCAAGUAUUUUUUCUGCAUUGAUUUAUAUGAUUAUAUGAUUUUUCUUCCUUUUCCUUUUAAUGUGGUUUAUCAUUUUGAUUGUUUUUCAAAUAUUGAACCAUCUAUGUUUCCUUAUAAUAAAUUAUAUUUGGUUAUGGUGAAUUAA
This is a long non-coding RNA of Symphalangus syndactylus (siamang), 2451 nucleotides long. RefSeq lists it as uncharacterized. The record is from RefSeq and is a predicted model, not a curated record. NCBI's taxonomy places the organism in Eukaryota, Metazoa, Chordata, Mammalia, Primates, Hylobatidae.